RNAcentral lists this non-coding RNA (23 nucleotides) under Arabidopsis thaliana (thale cress). The record is from RNAcentral. Lineage: Eukaryota; Viridiplantae; Streptophyta; Magnoliopsida; Brassicales; Brassicaceae.
UAAGCUUCGUUUACGGUCUUUAC